RNAcentral lists this ribosomal RNA (1759 nucleotides) under Phylo norvegica. RNAcentral describes it as "SSU rRNA". It matches the Rfam family "Eukaryotic small subunit ribosomal RNA". The record is from RNAcentral. Lineage: Eukaryota; Metazoa; Annelida; Polychaeta; Orbiniidae.
AGUUAUAUGCUUGACUCAAAGAUUAAGCCAUGCAUGUGCAAGUGCGUUACUUUUACACGGUGAGACCGCGAAUGGCUCAUUAGAUCAGUCGGUGUUUCUUAGACGGAAAAGUGCUACUCGGAUAACUGUGGCAAUUCUAGAGCUAAUACGUGCAUCGAAAGCUCCGACCCGCGGUUGGGGAAGAGCGCAAUUGUUAGAUCAAGACCAACCUUGCCCGCGAGGCUUGGAAGGCUGGUGACUCUGGAUAAUUUCGGGCUGACCGCACGGCCAAGAGCCGGCGGCGCAUCUUUUAAAUGUCUGCCCUAUCAAUUUUCGAUGGUAUACGACCUGUUUACCAUGGUGGUUACGGGUAACGGGGAAUCAGGGUUCGGUUCCGGAGAGGGAGCAUGAGAAACGGCUACCACCUCCAAGGAAGGCAGCAGGCGCGUAAAUUACCCACUCUUGGCUCAGGGAGGUAGUGACGAGUAAUAACGACCCAGGACUCUAUAACGAGCCCUCGGGAUCGGAAUGCGUAAAACUUAAACUCAAUUGCAAGGAACAAUUGGAGGGCAAGUCUGGUGCCAGCAGCCGCGGUAAUUCCAGCUCCAAUAGCGUAUAUUAAAGCUGUUGCAGUUAAAAAGCUCGUAGCUGAAUCACGGGUGGAAGAUCUGGGUCUCUAGCCUCACGGCCAAGAGGUCCGUUCUGACCCAAUCUGUCGGUGUACACGGGGUGCUCUUCGCUGAGUGUCUCGGGUGGCUGGUACGUUUACUUUGAAAAAACGAGGGUGCUCAAAGCAGGUCUGCCACGCCUGAAUAGUCGAGCAUGGAAUAAUGGAAUAAGAUCUCGGCUUUAUUUUGUUGGUCUCUAAAGCUAGAGAUAAUGAUUAAUAGGGACGGACGGGGGCAUUCGUAAUGCGGGGCGAGAGGUGAAAUUCUUGGACCCUCGCAAGACGAACAACCGCGAAAGCAUUUGCCAAGAAUGUUUUCUUUAGUCAAGAACGAAAGUCAGAGGUUCGAAGACGAUCAGAUACCGUCCUAGUUCUGACCUUAAACGAUGCCGACUAGCGAUGCGCGAGCGUUGGUACUUGACCUCGCGGGCAGCUACCCGGGAAACCAAAGUUUUUGGGUUCUGGGGGAAGUAUGGUUGCAAAGCUGAAACUUAAAGGAAUUGACGGAAGGGCACCACCAGGAGUGGAGCCUGCGGCUUAAUUUGACUCAACACGGGAAAACUCACCCGGCCCGGACACUGCAAGGAUUGACAGAUUGAGAGCUCUUUCUUAAUUCGGUGGUUGGUGGUGCAUGGCCGUUCUUAGUUGGUGGAGCGAUUUGUCUGGUUAAUUCCGAUAACGAACGAGACUCUAGCCUGCUAAAUAGUUCGUCGAUGCGCGGUGUAUUGGCGUGGAACUUCUUAGAGGGACAAGUGGCUUUUAGCCAAGCGAGAAUGAGCAAUAACAGGUCUGUGAUGCCCUUAGAUGCUCGGGGCCGCACGCGCGCUACACUGAAGGAGUCAACGAGUGGCCUGUCCUGACCCGAAACGGUUGGGCAACCCGUUGAAUCUCUUUCGUGGUAGGGAUUGGAGCUUGCAAUUGUUCUCCAUGAACCAGGAAUUCCGAGUAAGCGCAGGUCAAAAGCCUGCGUUGAUUACGUCCCUGCCCUUUGUACACACCGCCCGUCGCUACUACCGAUCGAGCGGUUCAGUGAGCCAAUCGGACUCGCCCGGUCAGUUUCUCGAAAGGGGUGCGAAUUGCGCCGGGGAAGAUUGUCCGAACUGUGAUUGCUUA